UACGGGGGGGGCAAGCGUUGUUCGGAAUUACUGGGCGUAAAGGGCUCGUAGGCGGCCAACUAAGUCAGACGUGAAAUCCCUCGGCUUAACCGGGGAACUGCGUCUGAUACUGGUUGGCUUGAAUCCGGGAGAGGGAUGUGGAAUUCCAGGUGUAGCGGUGAAAUGCGUAGAUAUCAGGAGGAACACCGAUGGCGAAGGCAGGUCUCUGGGCCAUAACUGACGCUGAGAAGCGAAAGCAUGGGGAGCGAACAGG
Molecule: ribosomal RNA, 253 nt
Filed under: uncultured bacterium
Lineage: Bacteria
Description: partial 16S ribosomal RNA
Rfam family: Bacterial small subunit ribosomal RNA
Source: RNAcentral